CCGGAGCUUGCUCCGGUGAAAGUGGCGCACGGGUGAGUAACGCGUGGAUAAUCUGCCCUGGUAUCUGGGAUAACAUCUCGAAAGGGGUGCUAAUACCGGAUAAGCCUACGGGAUCCUCGGAUUCUGCAGGAAAAGGUGGCCUCUAUUUAUAAGCUACCGUAUCAGGAUGAGUCCGCGUACCAUUAGCUAGUUGGUGGGGUAAUGGCCUACCAAGGCGACGAUGGUUAGCUGGUCUGAGAGGAUGAUCAGCCACACUGGAACUGAGACACGGUCCAGACUCCUACGGGAGGCAGCAGUGGGGAAUUUUGCGCAAUGGGGGAAACCCUGACGCAGCAACGCCGCGUGAGUGAUGAAGGCUUUCGGGUCGUAAAGCUCUGUCAGAGGGGAAGAAAUGAAACGUGCUAAUAUCACGUUUUCUUGACGGUACCCUCAAAGGAAGCACCGGCUAACUCCGUGCCAGCAGCCGCGGUAAUAC
RNAcentral lists this ribosomal RNA (475 nucleotides) under uncultured Geobacter sp. RNAcentral describes it as "bacterial SSU rRNA". It matches the Rfam family "Bacterial small subunit ribosomal RNA", at positions 73 to 526 of the family's 1533-position model. Lineage: Bacteria; Pseudomonadati; Thermodesulfobacteriota; Desulfuromonadia; Geobacterales; Geobacteraceae. The record is from RNAcentral.